Molecule: ribosomal RNA, 1424 nt
Filed under: Escherichia coli
Lineage: Bacteria; Pseudomonadati; Pseudomonadota; Gammaproteobacteria; Enterobacterales; Enterobacteriaceae
Description: partial 23S ribosomal RNA
Rfam family: Bacterial large subunit ribosomal RNA
Source: RNAcentral
UUGGCCGGGCGACGGUUGUCCCGGUUUAAGCGUGUAGGCUGGUUUUCCAGGCAAAUCCGGAAAAUCAAGGCUGAGGCGUGAUGACGAGGCACUACGGUGCUGAAGCAACAAAUGCCCUGCUUCCAGGAAAAGCCUCUAAGCAUCAGGUAACAUCAAAUCGUACCCCAAACCGACACAGGUGGUCAGGUAGAGAAUACCAAGGCGCUUGAGAGAACUCGGGUGAAGGAACUAGGCAAAAUGGUGCCGUAACUUCGGGAGAAGGCACGCUGAUAUGUAGGUGAAGCGACUUGCUCGUGGAGCUGAAAUCAGUCGAAGAUACCAGCUGGCUGCAACUGUUUAUUAAAAACACAGCACUGUGCAAACACGAAAGUGGACGUAUACGGUGUGACGCCUGCCCGGUGCCGGAAGGUUAAUUGAUGGGGUUAGCGCAAGCGAAGCUCUUGAUCGAAGCCCCGGUAAACGGCGGCCGUAACUAUAACGGUCCUAAGGUAGCGAAAUUCCUUGUCGGGUAAGUUCCGACCUGCACGAAUGGCGUAAUGAUGGCCAGGCUGUCUCCACCCGAGACUCAGUGAAAUUGAACUCGCUGUGAAGAUGCAGUGUACCCGCGGCAAGACGGAAAGACCCCGUGAACCUUUACUAUAGCUUGACACUGAACAUUGAGCCUUGAUGUGUAGGAUAGGUGGGAGGCUUUGAAGUGUGGACGCCAGUCUGCAUGGAGCCGACCUUGAAAUACCACCCUUUAAUGUUUGAUGUUCUAACGUUGGCCCCUGAUCGGGGUUGCGGACAGUGUCUGGUGGGUAGUUUGACUGGGGCGGUCUCCUCCUAAAGAGUAACGGAGGAGCACGAAGGUUGGCUAAUCCUGGUCGGACAUCAGGAGGUUAGUGCAAUGGCAUAAGCCAGCUUGACUGCGAGCGUGACGGCGCGAGCAGGUGCGAAAGCAGGUCAUAGUGAUCCGGUGGUUCUGAAUGGAAGGGCCAUCGCUCAACGGAUAAAAGGUACUCCGGGGAUAACAGGCUGAUACCGCCCAAGAGUUCAUAUCGACGGCGGUGUUUGGCACCUCGAUGUCGGCUCAUCACAUCCUGGGGCUGAAGUAGGUCCCAAGGGUAUGGCUGUUCGCCAUUUAAAGUGGUACGCGAGCUGGGUUUAGAACGUCGUGAGACAGUUCGGUCCCUAUCUGCCGUGGGCGCUGGAGAACUGAGGGGGGCUGCUCCUAGUACGAGAGGACCGGAGUGGACGCAUCACUGGUGUUCGGGUUGUCAUGCCAAUGGCACUGCCCGGUAGCUAAAUGCGGAAGAGAUAAGUGCUGAAAGCAUCUAAGCACGAAACUUGCCCCGAGAUGAGUUCUCCCUGACUCCUUGAGAGUCCUGAAGGAACGUUGAAGACGACGACGUUGAUAGGCCGGGUGUGUAAGCGCAGCGAUGCGU